This is a long non-coding RNA of Cloeon dipterum, 348 nucleotides long. RefSeq lists it as uncharacterized. NCBI's taxonomy places the organism in Eukaryota, Metazoa, Arthropoda, Insecta, Ephemeroptera, Baetidae. The record is from RefSeq and is a predicted model, not a curated record. The transcript has 4 exons.
AGCUGGCCGGAGCACAACAAUUGCAGAAGGUCUCUUUGGAUAGUUAGAAAUUCUAUAAUUCGGGUGAUUCGUGGUCAAGAGCGACAGUGUGUUUUGUGCUGAUUGCCGUUCUUAUCUGCUGGUGGAUAGCGGCCGCGCGUCUGCUACUUGGGCCGAGGGGUGAUCCUACAACAGACCGAAGAAAUGAGGUCGUAGGCUACGUCAAGGGUUGGUCCGUCCUCGAGCACUCCUGCGAACAAAAUAAACUCGGGUGAUCAGGCCGUUCUAAAUUGCCGGGGAGGUUAACACUCACAGGGCUGCCUGCCACAGUCGGUCGCCUUACAGGUCACUCCCGGCUGGGGGGGGGGG